UGAUUCCUUCGGGGCAGGGUGAAAUUCCCGACCGACGGUAAAAAGUGGUACAACACUUUAAGUCCGUGACCCGUUUGAUAUUUAUGCAAACGGUGGAUCUGGUGCGAAUCCAGAACCGACAGUUAAAGUCUGGAUGGGAGAAGGAAAAC
Regulatory RNA element from Virgibacillus pantothenticus, 149 nucleotides. It matches the Rfam family "FMN riboswitch aptamer (RFN element)". Rfam says of the family: The RFN element is a highly conserved domain that is found frequently in the 5'-untranslated regions of prokaryotic mRNAs that encode for flavin mononucleotide (FMN) biosynthesis and transport proteins. This element is a metabolite-dependent riboswitch that directly binds FMN in the absence of proteins. NCBI's taxonomy places the organism in Bacteria, Bacillati, Bacillota, Bacilli, Caryophanales, Bacillaceae. The record is from Rfam.